GGCCUAACACAUGCAAGUCGAACGCGCGUAGCAAUACGCGAGUGGCGCACGGGUGAGUAACACGUGGGAAUCAACCCUGAGGUUCGGAAUAACCGCGGGAAACUGCGGCUAAUACCGGAUGUCCCCUACGGGGGAAAGAUUUAUCGCCUUGGGACGAGCCCGCGUCCGAUUAGCUAGUUGGUGAGGUAAUGGCUCACCAAGGCUACGAUCGGUAGCUGGUCUGAGAGGAUGACCAGCCACACUGGAACUGAGAUACGGUCCAGACUCCUACGGGAGGCAGCAGUGGGGAAUAUUGGGCAAUGGAGGCAACUCUGACCCAGCCAUGCCGCGUGGGUGCUACGUCUUCGGAUUGUAAAGCCC
This 360-nucleotide ribosomal RNA is filed under the name uncultured organism. Its description in RNAcentral is "bacterial SSU rRNA". It matches the Rfam family "Bacterial small subunit ribosomal RNA", at positions 45 to 433 of the family's 1533-position model. The record is from RNAcentral.